RNAcentral lists this ribosomal RNA (497 nucleotides) under uncultured bacterium. Its description in RNAcentral is "partial 16S ribosomal RNA". It matches the Rfam family "Bacterial small subunit ribosomal RNA", at positions 28 to 507 of the family's 1533-position model. The record is from RNAcentral.
GAUGAACGCUGGCGGCAUGCCUAACACAUGCAAGUCGAACGAAACCAUCGGGAGCUUUCGCCCCUGAGGGUGGCGGGGGACGGAUGCGUAACUCAUGGAUAGCAUACCUCUCAGACUGGGGUGAUAACGCGGGACAAUGUCUUCUAACGGAGAAUAUAUCGCACCGGAUUGUGCACUCGUUCUAGGCGCUUUUGGUGACAGUAAUAGCCGACUCCGCGCCGGAUUAGUUAGUGGGUAAGGUAACGGCUUACCAAGGCAACGACGCGUAGCCGACCUGAGAGGGUGAUCGGCCACACUGGAACUGAGACACGGUCCAGACUCCUACGGGAGGCAGCAGUAGGGAAUCUUCCGCAAUGGGCGAAAGCUUGACGGAGCAACGCCGCGUGAGUGAUGAAGGUCUUCGGAUCGUAAAACUCUGUUGUUAGGAAAGAACAAAAGUGUAUGUAACCAUGCACGUCUUGACGGUACCUAAACAGAAAGCCACGGCUAACUACGUG